This 583-nucleotide ribosomal RNA is filed under the name uncultured bacterium. RNAcentral describes it as "bacterial SSU rRNA". It matches the Rfam family "Bacterial small subunit ribosomal RNA", at positions 337 to 911 of the family's 1533-position model. The record is from RNAcentral.
UCCUACGGGAGGCAGCAGUAGGGAAUAUUGCGCAAUGGACGAAAGUCUGACGCAGCAACGCCGCGUGGGUGAUGAAGCAUCUUGGUGUGUAAAACCCUGUCAGAGGGGAAGAAACGUCCGGGGAGUAACUGUCCCGGGCCUGACGGUACCCUCAGAGGAAGUCCCGGCUAACUCCGUGCCAGCAGCCGCGAUAAUACGGGGGGGACAAGCGUUGUUCGGAUUUACUGGGCGUAAAGGGCGCGUAGGCGGACUUUCAAGUCGGAUGUGAAAACUGCCAGCUUAACUGGCAGCCUGCAUUCGAUACUGUUGGUCUUGAGUACAGGAGAGGAAAGUGGAAUUCCAGGUGUAGCGGUGAAAUGCGUAGAUAUCUGGAAGAACGCCAGUAGCGAAGGCGGCUUUCUGGACUGAUACUGACGCUAAAGCGCGAAGGCUUGGGGAGCAAACAGGAUUAGAUACCCUGGUAGUCCAAGCGGUAAACGAUGGGUACUAGGUGUCGGGGGUCUCGACCCCCUCGGUGCCGCAGCUAACGCACUAAGUACCCCGCCUGGGGAGUACGGUCGCAAGAUUGAAACUCAAAUGAAUU